AUGGCUGUCGUCAGCUCGUGUCGUGAGAUGUUGGGUUAAGUUCCGCAACGAGCGCAACCCUUGUCAUUAGUUGCUACAUUUGGUUGGGCACUCUAAUGAGACUGCCGGUGACAAACCGGAGGAAGGUGGGGAUGACGUCAAGUCCUCAUGGCCCUUAUGGGUAGGGCUUCACACGUCAUACAAUGGUCGGGACAGAGGGUUGCCAAGCCGCGAGGCGGAGCCAAUCUCAGAAACCCGAUCGUAGUCCGGAUCGCAGUCUGCAACUCGACUGCGUGAAGUCGGAAUCGCUAGUAAUCGCGGAUCAGCAUGUCGCGGUGAAUACGUUCCCGGGUCUUGUACACACCGCCCGU
This 350-nucleotide ribosomal RNA is filed under the name uncultured beta proteobacterium. RNAcentral's name for it is "SSU rRNA". It matches the Rfam family "Bacterial small subunit ribosomal RNA", at positions 1045 to 1397 of the family's 1533-position model. Lineage: Bacteria; Pseudomonadati; Pseudomonadota; Betaproteobacteria. The record is from RNAcentral.